GUACACUCCUGCGGGAGGCAGCAGUGGGGAAUAUUGGACAAUGGGCGCAAGCCUGAUCCAGCCAUGCCGCGUGAGUGAUGAAGGCCCUAGGGUUGUAAAGCUCUUUCACCGGAGAAGAUAAUGACGGUAUCCGGAGAAGAAGCCCCGGCUAACUUCGUGCCAGCAGCCGCGGUAAUACGAAGGGGGCUAGCGUUGUUCGGAAUUACUGGGCGUAAAGCGCACGUAGGCGGAUCGAUCAGUCAGGGGUGAAAUCCCAGGGCUCAACCCUGGAACUGCCUUUGAUACUGUCGAUCUGGAGUAUGGAAGAGGUGAGUGGAAUUCCGAGUGUAGAGGUGAAAUUCGUAGAUAUUCGGAGGAACACCAGUGGCGAAGGCGGCUCACUGGUCCAUUACUGACGCUGAGGUGCGAAAGCGUGGGGAGCAAACAGGAUUAGAAACCCCUGUAGUCCCAUG
This 452-nucleotide ribosomal RNA is filed under the name uncultured organism. RNAcentral's name for it is "partial 16S ribosomal RNA". It matches the Rfam family "Bacterial small subunit ribosomal RNA", at positions 331 to 799 of the family's 1533-position model. The record is from RNAcentral.